Molecule: long non-coding RNA, 403 nt
Organism: Dermacentor silvarum
Lineage: Eukaryota; Metazoa; Arthropoda; Arachnida; Ixodida; Ixodidae
Exons: 3
Source: RefSeq, a predicted model, not a curated record
UGCACAGUGAAUCCAUUACCAACUGCGUAUUCUCCACGUGCGUCUCUUCCGGCCUAAGGCGAGAUAUAAAGCACACCCGUUGUCGUGCCUUAAUCAGUCUUUUCCGCUGUUGCGCGUUCGAAGAUUUAGCCUGAUCCCCGCAUUUCGUCUUUUCAGGAAACAAAGUCGGACUCAUUAAGAAUAUGAAGUUCACCUCUGCCAUUUUCAUGAUGGCGGUACUGGCAGUGUUCCUGGCCAUGAUGACUGCCGCGGAGGAGGGAGCCGAGAACACGGGUGGUGGAGGCAGUAAGUGCAAACGUUACGCAUGUUUGUGUGUUGUAACGAAUGCUUUUCAAAUAAAUUCUUGCGUAGCGCACAGCUGUUGUUUCAUGAAAUGAUAAAUGCCAUUGUGUCUAUAACAUAC